RNAcentral lists this ribosomal RNA (949 nucleotides) under uncultured delta proteobacterium. Its description in RNAcentral is "bacterial SSU rRNA". It matches the Rfam family "Bacterial small subunit ribosomal RNA", at positions 64 to 974 of the family's 1533-position model. The record is from RNAcentral. Lineage: Bacteria; Deltaproteobacteria.
GAAUUCACUAGUGAUUAACGAGAAAGCUUCCUUCGGGAAGUAAGUAGAGUGGCGCACGGGUGAGUAACGCGUAGGUAAUCUACCCUUAUGACUGGGAUAACAUUGGGAAACUGGUGCUAAUACCGGAUACACUUCUUUACUGCGGGGUAAAGGAGGAAAGGUGGCCUCUUCAUGAAAGCUACCGUAUAGGGAUGAGCCUGCGUACCAUUAGCUAGUAGGCGGGGUAACGGCCCACCUAGGCAACGAUGGUUAGCGGGUCUGAGAGGAUGAUCCGCCACACUGGAACUGGAACACGGACCAGACUCCUACGGGAGGCAGCAGUGAGGAAUAUUGCGCAAUGGGGGAAACCCUGACGCAGCGACGCCGCGUGAGUGAGGAAGGUUUUCGGAUCGUAAAGCUCUGUCAGAAGGGAAGAAGUGUUAUAUGUUUAAUACGCAUAUAAUUUGACGGUACCUUCAGAGGAAGCACCGGCUAACUCCGUGCCAGCAGCCGCGGUAAUACGGAGGGUGCAAGCGUUGUUCGGAAUUACUGGGCGUAAAGGGCGCGUAGGCGGCUGGAUAAGUCAGAUGUGAAAGUCCAUGGCUCAACUGUGGAAGUGCAUUUGAAACUGUCCGGCUUGAGUAUCGGAGGGGAGUGUGGAAUUCCCGGUGUAGAGGUGAAAUUCGUAGAGAUCGGGAGGAACACCGGUGGCGAAGGCGACACUCUGGACGAAUACUGACGCUGAGGCGCGAAAGCGUGGGGAGCAAACAGGAUUAGAUACCCUGGUAGUCCACGCCGUAAACGAUGUGAACUAGGGAUAGGGGGUGUUGAUCCCUCCUGUCCCGCAGCUAACGCAUUAAGUUCACCGCCUGGGGAGUACGGUCGCAAGAUUAAAACUCAAAGGAAUUGACGGGGGCCCGCACAAGCGGUGGAGUAUGUGGUUUAAUUCGACGCACGCGAAGAACCUUAC